UUUAAAUCGACACCAAUUUGAGUUUUGAUACCACUAAAAAUCUGCUCAAAUUACUCAAAGUAUUAGCCUCCACUUUGAGUACUUAGGCAGCCGCAGAAUCCUUCUUAGUGCUAAUCAAAAGCUGCCAAAAAUAUGUCUGCGUGUGCCACAUUGAAUGUGCGCUCUAACCAGCCAACUUGAUUGGCCAAGACGAAAAUUGCCAAUACCCAGCGGAGGCGGAGGUACGUCAGGAGUAGACCAGAUGUGGGGGCGUGAUGCGUAAGAUGGAGUAGAGCCCUG
This 279-nucleotide long non-coding RNA is filed under the name Drosophila guanche. Lineage: Eukaryota; Metazoa; Arthropoda; Insecta; Diptera; Drosophilidae. The record is from RNAcentral.